Molecule: ribosomal RNA, 222 nt
Filed under: uncultured bacterium
Lineage: Bacteria
Description: partial 16S ribosomal RNA
Rfam family: Bacterial small subunit ribosomal RNA
Source: RNAcentral
CCCUUCACUCUGGGAUAACUCCGGGAAACCGGGGCUAAUACUGGAUAUGACUCGAACAGGCAUCUGUUUCGGGUGGAAAGAUUUAUUGGUGGAGGAUGGACUCGCGGCCUAUCAGCUUGUUGGUGAGGUAAUGGCUCACCAAGGCGACGACGGGUAGCCGGCCUGAGAGGGCGAUCGGCCACACUGGUACUGAGACACGGCCCAGACUCCGUACGGGAGGCA